RNAcentral lists this ribosomal RNA (497 nucleotides) under uncultured bacterium. RNAcentral describes it as "partial 16S ribosomal RNA". It matches the Rfam family "Bacterial small subunit ribosomal RNA", at positions 28 to 507 of the family's 1533-position model. The record is from RNAcentral.
GACGAACGCUGGCGGCGUGCUUAACACAUGCAAGUCGAGCGAACGGACCAGGAGUUUGCGUGGCUGAUGUUAGCGGCGGGGGGGAGAGUCACGUGUGUAUAACCUACCUAUAAGACUGGGAUAAUUACGGGACACCGGCGCUUAUAGGGUAGGAUAUUUUGAAGCACGGGGGGCGCGAGUGAGAUACGGUCUUUGUGGCAGUAAUAGCUGGAUACGCGCUGGAUUAGCUAGUUGGUAAGGUAACGGGUUACCAAGGCUACGAUGCAUAGCCGACCUGAGAGGGUGGUCGGCCACAUUGGAAGUGAGCAAGGGUCACGACUCCGACGGUAGGACGCAGUCGGGAAUCUUACGCAAUGGGCGAGAGCCUGACGGAGCAACGGCGCGGGAGUGAUGAAGGUCCUCGGAUCGGAAAGCUCUGUUAUUAGGGGAGAACAUAUGUGUAAGGAGCUGGGCAGAUAUUGACGGUACCUGAUCAGGAAGCCCCGGCUAACUACGUG